GACGAACGCUGGCGGCGUGCUUAACACAUGCAAGUCGAACGGAAAGGCCCUGCUUUUGUGGGGUGCUCGAGUGGCGAACGGGUGAGUAACACGUGAGUAACCUGCCCUUGACUUUGGGAUAACUUCAGGAAACUGGGGCUAAUACCGGAUAGGAGCUCCUGCUGCAUGGUGGGGGUUGGAAAGUUUCGGCGGUUGGGGAUGGACUCGCGGCUUAUCAGCUUGUUGGUGGGGUAGUGGCUUACUAAGGCUUUGACGGGUAGCCGGCCUGAGAGGGUGACCGGCCACAUUGGGACUGAGAUACGGCCCAGACUCCUACGGGAGGCAGCAGUGGGGAAUAUUGCACAAUGGGCGGAAGCCUGAUGCAGCAACGCCGCGUGCGGGAUGACGGCCUUCGGGUUGUAAACCGCUUUCGCCUGUGACGAAGCGUGGGUGACGGUAAUGGGUAAAGAAGCACCGGCUAACUACGUG
This 468-nucleotide ribosomal RNA is filed under the name uncultured bacterium. RNAcentral describes it as "partial 16S ribosomal RNA". It matches the Rfam family "Bacterial small subunit ribosomal RNA", at positions 28 to 507 of the family's 1533-position model. The record is from RNAcentral.